Molecule: long non-coding RNA, 2367 nt
Filed under: Olea europaea subsp. europaea
Lineage: Eukaryota; Viridiplantae; Streptophyta; Magnoliopsida; Lamiales; Oleaceae
Source: RNAcentral
GGACAGCUGUGGUGGCGAAUCAAAAUUGUGGAACGAAAAGAAAAGCAAAAGGAUUGCAGAUCUGGAAAAGGUACAAUCUUAUCACAAUUCCUAACCAAACACAAUGAGAUCUAUUGGAUGGGAAUCGAAAUAAUUUUAAAUUCCGCUGUGCAUGUAUAAGUAGAUUCCCAACAGGUUUGUUAUUAGAUUCCUAAAUAACCUAAACCAAAAAGGGAUUACAUUAUUAAGUUCAAAUGUGACCUAAAAUAAGAGUAAAAAUUGUAACUUUAUGAUCCAAGAUUGCUCUUUCUGAUCAUUUGAGAUCGAAAGAGUUUAUACUUUUGAAUCAAGGAUUUGUAGUAAAUCUUGAGAAGACCGGUCAUGAUGAUGAUACUGUGAGCCUAAACUUUUGCAAUUAUUAUUUUUAUAGUUUUACAUUAAUCUACAGAUGUACUUGGUCUUUGGCUUUCGGCCUAAACUAUCAUUUUAUCACUUUGCCUCUAGCGAGACUUAUAUGUGCAAUAUAUAUAACUUUUUUGGCAAUCUAUUUGAUCUACUUUUCCAUUUUCAAUAUAGGGAAGUGCUAUUUUGAUUGUAUUCCUUGUAUCUGCUAUGUUUCAUCAGGUAUGAUGCCUUUUCCCGCUUUCUCAUUUCAAUUUAUAUUUAUGCUCCCAUAUCGCUCCUUUUAUCAACUUUUGUUUGAUUACCGUCGUGCAUUGCCAUACCUUGCCACAUAUUCAAGUUUUGGGCAUUCAUUGGCCUUAUAUUUCAGGUUAUAGCAGUUUUAACUUGCAUUGCUGAUUAAAGAUAUCAUAGUUUUGAGAUUUAGCCUCAGUUUGAGCCUCAUUUUUUUGUUCAAAAUGCAUUUUGAAAUAGUAUUUUGCUGAACCAUUUAUGCUUAAAAAAUAAGAAAAAAUUUUGGGUUUUCGUGUAAAAUUAUUUUGUGGAAGAAUGUGUAUUUGAAAAUGAGUUUUGAAAAAAUGGGAGCCACACGUGGGCUUAGUAUUAUUCAUGAAUUCUGAUUUCGCCAUUGAACAGUUUCCUCUUAUUAUCAUAACAAAUUACUUGCAAGACAAGUUCAAAAAUUCGAUGGUACGUUUUUUCCUCUUUAUAUCACUCUUGUUGAGUUCUUUUUUCUGUCCUCGUCAAUUCUGGCAAUUUUUUUUUCUUUUUGUUUUUUUAACCCUACUUUGAGUUCUCAAGUUGCACGAAUAUGCAUUAUGGUUUGGGGAACAAAUUUUUUAUUAAAUAGGGGAAGUAAAGUUCGAUUCCGUUAGCAGCACUUUCGCUGAAGUAGUCUUAUAGUUGCUUAACGAAUUGAAGUAAAACUUCUUGGAGUAUUUAUUCGAACAGGAAGUCUUGCUCUUCAUUCAUAUUAUUUCGCCCCAAUGGUUUAUUUGCUCUCUAAUCUAAAAACGACGCUCGUUUUUCAUCUUUCUCCAAGUGGGCAACAUGAUAUUUUGGUACUUUUUCAGCAUACUAGGUCAACCCAUGUGUGAACUGCUAUAUUAUCACGACUUGAUGAAUUGAAAGGUUAGUACAAAAUAACAGCCCAGUAACAAUUUCUCUAAAAGAGAGAGAUUCCCUCGAGGUUACAGCUAACGGAUUACUCUCUUACUAUUUUCGAUAUGUUCCUAUAUUGGCUUUCGUGCAGCUUCGUCAUCCAUCCUGGCCAAGACGAGAUAUGAACUUAGUGCAAUACAAUUUUGAUUCAAAAUGUAACAUAUUAGCAUCAGGUAGUUACUUCAACUAGGUAAAUUUUUACUACAAGGAUUGUGAUGUAUUCAUAAACUUUUCUAGUUUUAAUGUUUCAUGCUACUCCCUUUGUCGAAAAAGAUAUGCCCCCCUCCUCCUCUUAUAGGUCACUUUCAUCGUUAGGGAUAUAAUUGAUUUUUAUGUAAUGCUAUUAAGCACCAUUGAUGUUUAACACUAGUUUAGAUGGAAUUACAGUAAUCAAAUUUGACUAAAAUUGGUCAGCAUCGGAACCACCUGGUCACAAUUUCAAUUUCUUGGACUUUAUUAAAAAUUAAUUUGUCUUAGUAGUUUAUAUCAACUGCUAAUAUCAAUUCUAAUGGCUGUGGUGCUAAUGGUGAUGAACGGCUCAAUUUUGAGGAAGAGUGGUGAUGAAUGGCUAGAGUGGGACCGUCUAAACGAGGGAGGAUGUGGGCUUCUAUGAUGUCUGUGUGCAAAUUGGAAAAAUCGAUGGUAUUAUUGUGUUCCUCCAUUGUGGCUGCGGCGGUGGUAGACGGUGCAGUUGUGGCAUUCAUUUCUUGAAAUUUUCCUCUCUUUUUUCAAGCUUUUCAAAUAGUGAAUAUAUUUUAAAUGAUUGGACUCAUUUAUAAUUUUAAUAAUUUAGUUUGGGACUCAUUGGCACUUUUAAAAAGUUUG